RNAcentral lists this ribosomal RNA (264 nucleotides) under uncultured bacterium. RNAcentral's name for it is "partial 16S ribosomal RNA". It matches the Rfam family "Bacterial small subunit ribosomal RNA", at positions 793 to 1055 of the family's 1533-position model. The record is from RNAcentral.
GUCCACGCCGUAAACGAUGUCAACUAGCCGUUGGAUACCUUAGAGUCUUUAGUGGCGCAGCUAACGCACUAAGUUGACCGCCUGGGGAGUACGGCCGCAAGGUUAAAACUCAAAUGAAUUGACUGGGGCCCGCACAAGCGGUGGAGCAUGUGGUUUAAUUCGAUGCAACGCGAAGAACCUUACCGCCCCUUGACAUCCUGGGAACUCGCUAGAGAUAGCUUGGUGCCGAAAGGAACCCAGAGACAGGUGCUGCAUGGCUGUCGU